AGCGAACGCUGGCGGCAGGCCUAACACAUGCAAGUCGAACGAACUCUUCGGAGUUAGUGGCGGACGGGUGAGUAACACGUGGGAACGUGCCUUUAGGUUCGGAAUAACUCAGGGAAACUUGAGCUAAUACCGGAUGUGCCCUUCGGGGGAAAGAUUUAUCGCCUUUAGAGCGGCCCGCGUCUGAUUAGCUAGUUGGUGAGGUAAAGGCUCACCAAGGCGACGAUCAGUAGCUGGUCUGAGAGGAUGAUCAGCCACAUUGGGACUGAGACACGGCCCAAACUCCUACGGGAGGCAGCAGUGGGGAAUCUUGCGCAAUGGGCGAAAGCCUGAUGCAGCCAUGCCGCGUGAAUGAUGAAGGUCUUAGGAUUGUAAAAUUCUUUCACCGGGGACGAUAAUGACGGUACCCGGAGAAGAAGCCCCGGCUAACUUCGUG
Molecule: ribosomal RNA, 433 nt
Filed under: uncultured bacterium
Lineage: Bacteria
Description: partial 16S ribosomal RNA
Rfam family: Bacterial small subunit ribosomal RNA
Source: RNAcentral